RNAcentral lists this ribosomal RNA (492 nucleotides) under uncultured Desulfobulbus sp. RNAcentral's name for it is "bacterial SSU rRNA". It matches the Rfam family "Bacterial small subunit ribosomal RNA", at positions 893 to 1382 of the family's 1533-position model. Lineage: Bacteria; Pseudomonadati; Thermodesulfobacteriota; Desulfobulbia; Desulfobulbales; Desulfobulbaceae. The record is from RNAcentral.
UCAGAAACUCAAAGGAAGUUGACGGGGCCCGCACAAGCGGUGGAGUAUGUGGUUAAUUCGAUGCAACGCGAAGAACCUUACCUGGUCUUGACAUCCCGGAGACCCUUAGGAAACUAGGGGGUGCUUCCAUCUGGAAGAAUCUGGAGACAGGUGCUGCAUGGCUGUCGUCAGCUCGUGUCGUGAGAUGUUGGGUUAAGUCCCGCAACGAGCGCAACCCUUGCCUUUAGUUGCCAGCAGUUCGGCUGGGCACUCUAAAGGGACUGCCGGUGUUAAACCGGAGGAAGGUGGGGAUGACGUCAAGUCCUCAUGGCCUUUAUGACCAGGGCUACACACGUACUACAAUGGCCGAUACAAAGGGCAGCGACACUGCGAGGUGAAGCCAAUCCCGUAAAAUCGGUCUCAGUCCGGAUUGGAGUCUGCAACUCGACUCCAUGAAGUUGGAAUCGCUAGUAAUCGUGGAUCAGCAUGCCACGGUGAAUACGUUCCGGCCUU